UACGGGGGGAGCAAGCGUUGUUCGGAUUUACUGGGCGUAAAGGGCGCGUAGGCGGCACCGCAAGUCGACUGUGAAAUCUCCGGGCUUAACUCGGAACGGUCAAGUGAUACUGUCGGACUAGAGUACAGAAGGGGCAACUGGAAUUCUCGGUGUAGCGGUGAAAUGCGUAGAUAUCGAGAGGAACACCUGCGGCGAAGGCGGGUUGCUGGGCUGAUACUGACGCUGAGGCGCGAAAGCCAGGGGAGCGAACGGG
This 253-nucleotide ribosomal RNA is filed under the name uncultured bacterium. Its description in RNAcentral is "partial 16S ribosomal RNA". It matches the Rfam family "Bacterial small subunit ribosomal RNA", at positions 524 to 776 of the family's 1533-position model. The record is from RNAcentral.